Molecule: ribosomal RNA, 284 nt
Filed under: Segatella copri DSM 18205
Lineage: Bacteria; Pseudomonadati; Bacteroidota; Bacteroidia; Bacteroidales; Prevotellaceae
Description: Prevotella copri DSM 18205 partial 16S ribosomal RNA
Rfam family: Bacterial small subunit ribosomal RNA
Source: RNAcentral
UCUUUUUAUUGUGUGCCAGCAGCCGCGGUAAUACGGAAGGUCCGGGCGUUAUCCGGAUUUAUUGGGUUUAAAGGGAGCGUAGGCCGGAGAUUAAGCGUGUUGUGAAAUGUAGACGCUCAACGUCUGCACUGCAGCGCGAACUGGUUUCCUUGAGUACGCACAAAGUGGGCGGAAUUCGUGGUGUAGCGGUGAAAUGCUUAGAUAUCACGAAGAACUCCGAUUGCGAAGGCAGCUCACUGGAGCGCAACUGACGCUGAAGCUCGAAAGUGCGGGUAUCGAACAGG